RNAcentral lists this ribosomal RNA (452 nucleotides) under uncultured bacterium. Its description in RNAcentral is "bacterial SSU rRNA". It matches the Rfam family "Bacterial small subunit ribosomal RNA", at positions 340 to 785 of the family's 1533-position model. The record is from RNAcentral.
UACGGGAGGCAGCAGUGGGGAAUAUUGCACAAUGGGCGCAAGCCUGAUGCAGCCAUGCCGCGUGUAUGAAGAAGGCCUUCGGGUUGUAAAGUACUUUCAGUCGUGAGGAAGGUGUUAAGGUUAAUAACCUUAGCAAUUGACGUUAGCGACAGAAGAAGCACCGGCUAACUCCGUGCCAGCAGCCGCGGUAAUACGGAGGGUGCGAGCGUUAAUCGGAAUUACUGGGCGUAAAGGGCACGCAGGCGGUUAAUUAAGUUGGAUGUGAAAUCCCCGGGCUUAACCUGGGAAUGGCAUUCAAGACUGGUUAGCUAGAGUCUUGUAGAGGGGGUAGAAUUCCAUGUGUAGCGGUGAAAUGCGUAGAGAUGUGGAGGAAUACCGGGUGGCGAAGGCGGCCCCUGGGACAAAGACUGACGCUCAUGUGCGAAAGCUGGGGAGCAAACAGGAUUAGAUAC